Molecule: long non-coding RNA, 3356 nt
Organism: Numida meleagris (helmeted guineafowl)
Lineage: Eukaryota; Metazoa; Chordata; Aves; Galliformes; Numididae
Exons: 3
Source: RefSeq, a predicted model, not a curated record
GGCCUCGGGCGCCUGCGGCGUGGGCGUCGCGCUUCGGGGUGUGGGGCUGUCGUGGGAGAUACUGUUGCCACAGAAACAAUGGGGGAGGACAGCAUCAAGGGAAUGAGAAAUAGAAACAAAAGAAGUGGAUUGGUCAUCUAUGAGCAAAAAAAAAGCAAGAAAGGAUAUUUGACCAGCUAGACACGUCAAGCCUUCAGAUAUCCAGCAGUUCAUCUACAGAAAUUCAAAGCUGCAAGGGAUUGUGUGUGAGUGUGUGUGCACAUGCACACUUGUGGAGGCAGACCUUUGAGAGCAGUUACAGAGUUCUGGUAGUGCGUACAGAUCAGUACAAUAACUAACCCCGUCUGAAAGAAGACAUCAGUUGUAUCCUGUAUCCCCAAGGAGAGACCAAUCCACCUGAUAAAGCGAGACAAGAGCAUCUUUCCCAGCUGGACAGCCAGCCUGAAGAGAGCUUUCAACAAGGAACAGGGAAGGGAGAUUGCAACACAGGGAAGAGAAGAAAUAGUAGUCAAGGGCGGUAAGAAAAUAGUGCUGCAUGUUGGGAAUAAGAGACCUCAGGAAUGAUGAAACAGGGUGUGAGAGGCCACCCACCUCAAGGGUAUGCACACUUACACCUACAGCCUGGGAAGCAAGCAGGAGAAACUAUCGCUCUGCAAGCAUGACGUGGUGGGAGUUUGCUACAGAUUGCCGCAUCAGGCAAAUUAUGUCUUCUAUAAGGAAUUUGAGGGAGUCUCAGAUCCCAGACUGAUGAGGGAUUUCAGCCUACCUGACCUCUGCUAUAAACACAACACAUCACAAUCCAAGCAGUCGAGAUUUCUGAAAGGUAUUGAGGAUGAUUUAUUGAUACUGGAUGGGCCAACCACAGGUGAUCACAGCUGGAUCUGCCACGUCAGCAAGGCAGAACCAUGGGAUGUGGCAGUCAGUAGUUUGGUCAUCAAAGCCUUGGCUGCAGUGACUGAGGAAAGGUGUUUGUGAUCCUGAGGAGACCAAGGGACGAUAGCAGCAGACUACAGACCCUGUGCUUCAGGAGAGCAUACUUCAGCUUAUUCAGGAAACUGGUAGGUGGGAUCCACUGAGCAGCAGCUCUGAAGGGAGAGCUGGCAAGUGAGCAUGAGGAUUGUCCAUCCUAAUACUGAGGAAAACAAAUAGUAUUCAUAUUUUCAGCAAUGGAAAAGCAAAAUUGAUGUGAUCUAAAGAAGAGAAAAAGAGUGGCUAAAUGGGAAAUUAAAUUAAGGCCAGGGUUAUCAUAAGAUCUGUAUUGCUUGGUAAAUUCAUUCCAGUCAAAUGUUUUAAUAUAAGCACAAGCAGAGUUACUUAAAAAUAUGGUGAACAGGUCACGCCUGCAGAUGUGAGCUGUGUUAUGGAGAAGUAAAUGAAAAGAAAUUAAGAGUUCACAAUGGGCAACCUAGCAAAAAUCAGUUUCCAACCUAAUGUUACAGUACAGGAUACGGCAAGUAGGAUGAGAUGUUAUUUUGCCUCUGUGUAUGGCAUUGGUGACAUUUUUGUGGUAAUACUGUACCCACCUCUGGUGUCCUCAUUGUCAAAAGAAUACUGAGAAAUUACUUGAGGCUGGAGAAAAUUCUCUGCAUGGAGAGACUUAAAGAGCACGAUCUGUUUGACUUCUCAGAAAGAAGACUGGAAAGUGACUACAGAGAUCUUCAAUCUCACACAGUGAGAAGCAUAACUACAAAAAAUACCUAUAAACUGAAAUCAAACAAAUUUGAAUUGGAAAUUACACACAUUCUUAAAAAGUGGAAGACUCUAAUGGUUGAAGUAUUUUGCCAAGCAAAAGGGUACAUUCAGUAUCUCCUAAGGGUUUCAGUUGAAGAAUAGAUGCUUUUGUCACAGAAGUGCAUUAGCUGAACAGAUGGAAUUCUUUACCUGCCUUUAAAGUCUCUCACAGUCUACAACUGUGUAGCUGUUGUUAUAAAAUAUUUGAAUUACCAUGAUGCCUAGAAACACAACUCAGAGGCCAAAGCCCUUUGCCUAAUUAGUCUCUAUGUAAGACACUGAGAGAAAAUCCAUUCUGUCUUCUGAAGAUUUUAUAAUCCAAAUGGAUAGAGGCACCAAUUGAAACAGAAGAGCAAAGAGAAAAUGUAACGAGUGUGAACUGCUGCCACUCACCCUGUGCCUCUCCUUGUUUCAUAAUCUCAUGGUUUGGCAGCCACCCAGUUUACUCAAGGGUGUGUGGGUCGGCUGGUUUUAAAAAUUGAAGAGCAGCAUGGUACAGGUAUGUUUGUGCCUGUAUCAUCUCUGCAACAGUAGGAGGCUUUGCUGAGUCUGAAGAACGUCAGGUUUUUAUUAAUGUUGCUUGUCAACAGCAUUGGUCCCAUGAAUCUCUUUCCUCACUCCACUAACAAGUCAAACCACCAGUCAGACUUUUGCUGCAGUGUCUGAAUGCAGACAGAUUGCAUCUGUUGUUGGACUAGUAUAUAGUAUGACCAAAAGAUGAUAGCAUAGUAGGACCAUAAAAUAGUAGGAUAGUUCUGGUUGGAAGGGACCUCUGAAGGUCUCUGGCCCAACCUCCUGCUCACAGCAGAGUUGACUGUCAAGUCAGAAGGUUGCUUUGUGUAUGUACCUCUUUAUUUGCUUUGGAAACUCUUAAUUUUGGAUCCAAAUAGUCCUUGCAAAAAGACCAUGUGAAUUCACCAGCUGGAUUUUGAUUGACACAUAGCCCAGUGAAGGUCAUCCACCAUCCUCAUGGUGGAGUAACCAGCCCCACUCUAAAAAUACACUUUAACUUGUAGGCAACAAAUAUUACAGGAUUUAUGCUACAAGGUAAUAGAGUGGGACAUAAAAGAUUUUUUUCCCAAUUUGUAUUUCAUAAUUUCAAGAAAAACUGAAACAGAAUGCAAAUUAAACAGAACUGGAAACUUAACACAUUACACAAGUGAAAUUGGAUCCUUCUUGGGAACACGAAACGCUAACAAUAAAUAUAUUUCAAAAGUCCUGUUACAUCAAAUCAUCUUGGACUGACUGAAAAAUACUUAAAUAUCUGUAUUAGUAGAUGAAUAUUUGUAAAUUAUGGUUCCAGUACAUUUCCAGGAAAUAAAGCUUUUUUCAGGACAGCUGUACAUGCUAUCUGGGCACCAUGACAGGGAGUGAUGGUAGGCAGACUGAAAAUGGGAGGACUUAGGCAAGCAGUUCAACAGGUGAGGCGACACAUUUUAUUCAUUGUUUCAAAAUAAUAAAUUCAAUCUCACUUAUAAACAAGGCAUUAAUAAAUUGUUAUCACAGGAAACUGUACAAUUAUGGAAAACUAUAAAAUUUAUGAAAACUAAGCUUGUACUUAAGAUAAAUAUUAUUUUAUUCCUUACCACUUUUCAUCAAUAAAUCUUGGAAUAUUUCACAUGUAA